UACAGAGGGGGCAAGCGUUAUUCGGAAUUACUGGGCGUAAAGGGCGCGUAGGCGGUUCUUUAAGUCGGAUGUGCAAUCCCCGAGCUCAACUUGGGAACUGCAUCCGAAACUGGGGAGCUAGAGUGCUGGAGAGGGUGGUGGAAUUCCACGUGUAGCGGUGAAAUGCGUAGAGAUGUGGAGGAACACUAGUGGCGAAGGCGGCCACCUGGACUGAUACUGACACUGAGGUGCGAAAGCGUGGGGAGCAAACAGGAUUAGAAACCCUUGUAGU
RNAcentral lists this ribosomal RNA (271 nucleotides) under uncultured bacterium. RNAcentral's name for it is "partial 16S ribosomal RNA". It matches the Rfam family "Bacterial small subunit ribosomal RNA", at positions 524 to 794 of the family's 1533-position model. The record is from RNAcentral.